This 70-nucleotide transfer RNA is filed under the name Camelus bactrianus (Bactrian camel). It matches the Rfam family "tRNA". From Rfam's summary of the family: Transfer RNA (tRNA) molecules are approximately 80 nucleotides in length. Their secondary structure includes four short double-helical elements and three loops (D, anti-codon, and T loops). Further hydrogen bonds mediate the characteristic L-shaped molecular structure. tRNAs have two regions of fundamental functional importance: the anti-codon, which is responsible for specific mRNA codon recognition, and the 3' end, to which the tRNAs corresponding amino acid is attached (by aminoacyl-tRNA synthetases). tRNAs cope with the degeneracy of the genetic code in two manners: having more than one tRNA (with a specific anti-codon) for a particular amino acid; and 'wobble' base-pairing, i.e. permitting non-standard base-pairing at the 3rd anti-codon position. Lineage: Eukaryota; Metazoa; Chordata; Mammalia; Artiodactyla; Camelidae. RNAcentral also lists the same sequence under 2 other names. The record is from Rfam by way of RNAcentral.
GGGGUUAUAGCUCAGUGAGAACAUGUGCUUAGCAUGCGCGAGGUCCUGGGUUCAAUCCCCAGUACUUCCA